GACGAACGCUGGCGGCGUGCUUAAUACAUGCAAGUCAACUGAAUUACCGGUAGCAAUACUGGUAAGGAGGUGGCGCACGGGUGCGUAACGCGUAGGUAAUCUGCCCUUGGGUCUGACAUAACCCACCGAAAGGUGAGCUAAUAUCAGAUGAUGCAGCGGCUUGACAUCAAGACAGUUGUUAAAGCUUCGGCGCCCAUGGAUGAGCCUGCGUCNGAUUAGGUAGUUGGCGGAGUAAAAGCCCACCAAGCCCACGAUCAGUAGCUGGUCUGAGAGGAUGAUCAGCCACACUGGAACUGAGACACGGUCCAGACUCCUACGGGAGGCAGCAGUAAGGAAUAUUGCUCAAUGGGAGAAAUCCUGAAGCAGCAACGCCGCGUGAGGGAUGAAGGCCUUUCGGUCGU
RNAcentral lists this ribosomal RNA (401 nucleotides) under uncultured bacterium. Its description in RNAcentral is "bacterial SSU rRNA". It matches the Rfam family "Bacterial small subunit ribosomal RNA", at positions 28 to 426 of the family's 1533-position model. The record is from RNAcentral.